GCGCCGCUCUCGUGGGGUGCCCGGGGCGGGCUCGCAGCCCCGCGCGGCUCAGGCGGCAGCGCUGCCAGCGGCGCUACACUCGCGCUACGGGCACCGCGCGGGGCAGAGCCGCAACGUGUCUGGAGACGGGAGAGGAGGCGGGGAGGCAGACCCUUAUGUGCCUGCUGGAAGCACUGCACUGCAAUCUUCCCUUGACACUGCUGGAAGAUCAGGCCUCUGCCUUCCCCGACUGUGUGGACGUCCCUUGCAACAUACACCAGGAGCUGAAUGUGUGUUUUCUACCCUGCAAUUAUUGGGAGCUGCUUAACCCAAAUGGAAGAACACCCGAGCGCAGCUGGAGCUGCUCUCAUGGUGUGAGUGCCUGAUGUCAGCGUGAGCCCCUGUGACAGUGCCCUGGUGCUUGGCUGUCCUCAUGGAGCAUCAGCAGCUCUUGUCAGUGGUGCCCCCCAGCCGCCCGGUGCCCGAGGCCGUGGCACCAGCGCUGAGCUCUCAGCAGUGUCGGGGCAGGCCUGCCCUCGGCAGCCAGCCUGGCUCUGCCGCUGCGAGUGUGGAAUGGGCCAAACAGGCUCAGUUAUAAAAAACACAAGUUUUAACACUUUACAGGCUGAGAACAUUGAGGCUGUUCAGCCUGGGGAAGAGAAGCUGCCUGGAGACCUGUCAGAGCAGCUCACAGUAUCUGAAUGGGGCUACAAGGGUGGUGGGGAGGGACUCUUCAUUAGGGACUGUAGUGAUAGGACAAGGGGUGAUAGGUUGAAACUGAAACAGGGGAAGUUCAGGUUAGAUACAAGGAAGAAGUUCUUUACUGUGAGGGUGGUGAGGCCCUGGCACAGGUUGCCCAGGGAAGUGGUGAAUGCCCCAUCCCUGGCAGUGUUCAAGGCCAGGUUGGGCAGAGCCUUGGGUGACAUGGUCUAGGGUGAGAAGUCCCUGCCCAUGGGAGGGGGUUGGAACUGGAUGGUCUUAAAGUCCUUUCCAACCCAAACCAUUCUAUGAUUCCAUUGGCCUGUCAUGGAGAACACGUAAGACAGCAAUAUCUAUUGGUUUGGUAUCAAUUGCUUUUCUUUGUCCCAUUGUUUGUUCAGAAGUUAGGGAGACCUUGUCCUAUAAGCAGGUUCCUCCUGGUCGCUUUCCAGCUAACCAGCCACAGAGCUGCCACAGUGCUGCCACAGCGCUGCCACAGCACUCCGCCUUCCUGACCUGAAAACAUGAACUUUCACAUUCCUGCCAGCGUGGCUUGUGCCUCCCAAACCCAGAGUCACCUACAGCCCGCGCUGCGAGGUGGCAGGACACAGCACAGCCAGAGCUUGUCCUUAUCAAGUGUGACAAGGGCCUUUUGCUGCGGGAACAGCUUGCACUGUUUUGGUGCAAUGCUACACAUUGCACUUGUGUAGGCUUGUAAAAGGAUACGUGUCCAUGUGCACUGGUACCAGCAAUUCUCUGGAGCUGUAAAAACACCGCGGUGCCAUCAGCAUACCACAUCAAACAAGGAGGCCAAGCACCGCUGUGACCAGAGCUGCACAGGCACCACCGGGGUGGCAGCAUGUGCGUAGCCCAGGGCAAGGGGAGCAGCAUUUAGUUUUGCCAACAUGCAGUAUGUUACUAA
This is a long non-coding RNA of Strigops habroptila (Kakapo), 1600 nucleotides long. RefSeq lists it as uncharacterized. Lineage: Eukaryota; Metazoa; Chordata; Aves; Psittaciformes; Psittacidae. The record is from RefSeq and is a predicted model, not a curated record. The transcript is spliced from 2 exons.